Molecule: small RNA, 1508 nt
Filed under: Saccharomyces cerevisiae (brewer's yeast)
Lineage: Eukaryota; Fungi; Ascomycota; Saccharomycetes; Saccharomycetales; Saccharomycetaceae
Description: IRT1
Source: RNAcentral
AAUAAUAAUUAAUAGCGCUUAGUUUAAAGAAUUUGAACUAUUUUUUGGCCAACUUGGAGAAAGAAUGUGUACUUGAUUAUUGGCAUUCCGCGUAUUUACGCGGGGAUAAAGAGAAAACAAAGGAGAAAAGGAAUUUCCUCAAUUCCGAUGACUAGUACCUCCGAGCAAGCAAUCAUCGGCGAACAGAUGUAAAAAGAGAGUUUUAAACACUGAGUUUUAUUUAUCAAGAACGUACCCGUACAGCUAUCGUUUCAGGCAGAUAACAAAAAUGUGAUUGAAAUUAAAGUAGUUUUGUUUGGAAUCAUGAUAAUUAAAUAUUUCAUUAAUUUGAAGUUACUAAGUAAUGAAGCUAGCCCGAGAAACGCAAAUGCUCAGAGAGCCCGGCAGUAAUUGUGUACACAGAACUAUACAAGCCGCUGGAUAAAGCUUAUUCGUUGAUGUCAUCCGCUAUUACCUCUCCUAAUCAUGGCUGCAGGAAAUCUUUUCUCUCAACAUCUUGUACCACUUUAAAAUGCGGUAGCAAAGGACAAACGGUAAAACGUUACACUGCCACGGUGUUAUAGCAGCCGCAAAGUGAGUAAGCAUGUGAUGGUACCUUCAAUACUGCGUUGGAGAAAAAAAGUGCGUAUCUUUGUUUACUUUUCGUCUUCGAGGGGAAGGAUCAAAGGCGCAUGCGUGCCCGCAGGAGGGGGCGCCAGGAUUGGGGGUAGAUACAACAUCAAGGAAGCGUCAUGGUGGCUUCUUGGGUCUUAAAUACGCAGGGAAUUAAAGUUUCAUUUAUGUGCCUUUACAUGCACUCAAAAACCUUCUUAGUUACAGGAAAAGGUAAAGAUACGAUAAGAAAAGCCUUUGAACUGCCCAUCCUGCAUCCUAACACAGAUCUAACUCACUAUUCGGGUAAGGAAGUGUCAUGCAUGUCUGCAAAGGGACUAGAAGAAAGUUACAUGAUUACAUAAGCAAAAAAUCGGAAUUACAGACACACCAUUUUUUAUCCUGCGGCCCCAUUUCCGUCUUCGAGGGAAAGGAUCAAAGGCGCUUAGCCCAAUCUUGAUGAUUCACCGGGGAAGAAAGGAAUUACAGAACCCCCAGCCACGUAACACAGCCAAUUAGUUUUCUAUAUCGGGAAACGUGAUUGAUUGCGCAAUUUUGGCUGCAUCAGAAUACAUCGAUGAGAUCUAGAGCACCCUUUGAUGGUUUAAGUCCGGUUUAAAGUUAGUAGAUCAAUGAUUUCGUAGUGCAUUUUAAAGGGAGCGCUUAUCCAUGGGUGAUUGCGUUUACAACGUUUUGUGUGUACUCAUAAUAGCCAAUCUAAAAUUAAACAACAACAACAACGCACAAUUAAUAUGUAUCAGCCCCAAUACCUUUUUCUCUUACUGUAAUUUACUACUAAAUUGGGGUCGGACGUUUUUGAUCUUGUUCCUUGCCUGUUGUUUACCUUGUAUAUUACUUUUCCUCUUUUAUGUAUUUAAGGUAAAUUAAUUAUCUUUUGAUCUUAAUAUUUUUCUCAA